GAAACCGUGUACGUACAAGCAGUGGGAGCACCCUUCGGGGUGUGACUGCGUACCUUUUGUAUAAUGGGUCAGCGACUUAUAUUCUGUAGCAAGGUUAACCGUAUAGGGGAGCCGGAGGGAAACCGAGUCUUAACCGGGCGUUAAGUUGCAGGGUAUAGACCCGAAACCCGGUGAUCUAGCCAUGGGCAGGUUGAAGGUUGGGUAACACUAACUGGAGGACCGAACCGACUAAUGUUGAAAAAUUAGCGGAUGACCUGUGGCUGGGGGUGAAAGGCCAAUCAAACCGGGAGAUAGCUGGUUCUCCCCGAAAGCUAUUUAGGUAGCGCCUCGUGAAUUCAUCUCCGGGGGUAGAGCACUGUUUCGGCUAGGGGGCCAUCCCGGCUUACCAACCCGAUGCAAACUGCGAAUACCGGAGAAUGUUAUCACGGGAGACACACGGCGGGUGCUAACGUCCGUCGUGAAGAGGGAAACAACCCAGACCGCCAGCUAAGGUCCCAAAGUCAUGGUUAAGUGGGAAACGAUGUGGGAAGGCCCAGACAGCCAGGAUGUUGGCUUAGAAGCAGCCAUCAUUUAAAGAAAGCGUAAUAGCUCACUGGUCGAGUCGGCCUGCGCGGAAGAUGUAACGGGGCUAAACCAU
Molecule: ribosomal RNA, 637 nt
Filed under: Salmonella enterica
Lineage: Bacteria; Pseudomonadati; Pseudomonadota; Gammaproteobacteria; Enterobacterales; Enterobacteriaceae
Description: partial 23S ribosomal RNA
Rfam family: Bacterial large subunit ribosomal RNA
Source: RNAcentral